This 292-nucleotide ribosomal RNA is filed under the name uncultured bacterium. RNAcentral's name for it is "partial 16S ribosomal RNA". It matches the Rfam family "Bacterial small subunit ribosomal RNA", at positions 505 to 796 of the family's 1533-position model. The record is from RNAcentral.
GUGCCAGCCGCCGCGGUAAUACGGAGGGGGCUAGCGUUGUUCGGAAAUACUGGGCGUAAAGCGCACGUAGGCGGUGGAGUAAGUCAGAGGUGAAAUCCCAGGGCUCAACCCUGGAACUGCCUUUGAAACUGCUACACUAGAAUCAUGGAGAGGUCAGUGGAAUUCCGAGUGUAGAGGUGAAAUUCGUAGAUAUUCGGAAGAACACCAGUGGCGAAGGCGACUGACUGGACAUGUAUUGACGCUGAGGUGCGAAAGCGUGGGGAGCAAACAGGAUUAGAUACCCGCGUAGUCC